UUUACCAGCCAGAUGCUGAUAGACCUCGACAGAGACGUGGGAUCUUUGAGCCCUGCAGGGCUGUCCCAUCCCCUGAUGGAGCUCUUCCCACCGUGGUUCAGGGCUGCAGCCCUUCCAGGCAGGACACAGGACAGCAAGGUUGUCACCAGGCAGAACUUGCUGCGUGCUGGGGUUCUCCAGUGUGUGUGCACAGGCUGCUGGGGCUGCAGGAAAAGUGAACACAAGAAGCAGAUCAGGAGGUAAGAGAGACAGAAGCCUAAUGGAAAUACUUGUUACAAGUAUAAACUCUUUCAGCCCAGGAGAUGCAGCCUUGAAUUUCAGAAACCAGUGUCUACUGUGCUUCACAGACCAGUGGUAAAUCUUUGACUGAAACCAGCCUGAGGGGAGCCAGCUGGCAGUGUGAAGGUGAUAAUAGACUAAUUACCCUCACCAACCUCUCCUCCAGCCCCCAGCUUUCACCCCACAACCAGAUUUCAUGGUUUGCCCAUGAAAGUUGCUUUGCCUUUAUAUGUCUGAUGGUUGCUGGGAUGAUGCUGGGACACGUUAUUGCCACUUGUGCUGCUUGGCAGAGUGCCUGCCCUGUGCUGCUGAAGUUGCUGUGGCAUGGUGACCUGUGCAUCCUGGUCUGUCCUCAGCAGAGCAGCCCUGUUCUGCCAGCUCCCUGCUGCUGGUCUCCCACCUCCAAGGAUUUUGCAGCAUCAGAUGCAUAGAAGUUUGCAGGUACUAAUGGAAAACUAUACCAUAUGCUACUUUUGUGGUAAUGAACUCGGCCCUGUGGGAGAUCACUGAUCCUAUGCUGGCACCUGAGAACAUGUCAGUUUUGUGUCUGAGAGACACUUUUCAGGACCAGCAUAUUAUGACUGAUGAAGAGGGGAGUGCAGAACCCCCCAUUUCCUGUGGAGCUGGGGACCAGAAUGGGAGCCAGGGAACUGCCAGGCACAGCUCAAGGAAGGAGGCCCCUGCACAGAUGCUUAAGAUGAAAGACCUACGUUUCAAGACAUGAGAUUCUACGUAAUUUAAGGUACUGUGUGCAGUAUGUGAAGAUGUUUUAAACUGGAUUUUGUAGCACCAUCCCUCUAAAUAAUACAGUAGUUUCCAUUUAUGUGUGCAUUAUUAGUAGCAGAAUAUAAAGAGGACACUCCUGAAAGAAACAAAUUGAAGGUUUAGUAA
Molecule: long non-coding RNA, 1170 nt
Filed under: Cyanistes caeruleus (blue tit)
Lineage: Eukaryota; Metazoa; Chordata; Aves; Passeriformes; Paridae
Description: lncRNA (ENSCCEG00000011893.1)
Source: RNAcentral